This is a long non-coding RNA of Lepisosteus oculatus (spotted gar), 970 nucleotides long. RefSeq lists it as uncharacterized. The record is from RefSeq and is a predicted model, not a curated record. Lineage: Eukaryota; Metazoa; Chordata; Actinopteri; Semionotiformes; Lepisosteidae.
UCCCAGUUAAGGUCCUCUCUUUCCCAUCUCUAAAAGCCUUGGAGGGUCUUCUUGAGGUACUGACUGUUUUGCUGGUGAGAAGGCAGUCCCAAUACCUAUAUUGUUACAACAGGACAGCGAGAGUAAUGGAAGAGAAGGAUGUCUCUGAGCACCUUUUGUGUGUGAUCUGCUUAGUACCCAAGUGGCACACUCUGCUUUCUGCAUGAUCUUGGAAUCCAUGAUAGUCAUGAUGCCAGUCUGAACCAGGGCCAUGAGGCUCACCCACAACCUACGGAAUCUUGGAAAGCAAAGGGUGCAAGGCGGCAUACACCCUGGAUGGGAUGCCAGUCCAAAAAUAUGAAUCAUCAAGGACAAGGUUGACAGAACAAGUUCAUAUGUCAAUAUGUCAACCUCCAUAUGUCAAUGAGGCUUCAAUGUGGGCCUACUUAAAGUUAAACUGGUGGUUAAAUUGGAGAAGCAGAGUGAUCAUACCCCUUCUUAAUUAAGACAACUAUCACUGAAUGACAAGUAUGGUCUUUUUCUGAAAAAGUCCCCUACAGAACAGGAUUUGAAGGCAGAACCACCAGGAAAACAGAAGAAAAAGGAGACGCUUACUACAACCCAAGAGUGAAUGGAAACACUCUAGGUAAACUCUUAACAGCUGUGUAGCAAGGCUCUAGUCUCAAUUUCACUUUUCUUGCUGCACAGAGUCUCAGAGAGUUAGCAACAUAAUGCAUUUAAUGGGUAAGACACUGGCAAUUCAUGAGGGCAAUUUAUGUGCCCCUGAUUUGUAGCCAUUUACCCACUGUGGGUUUGUAAUUAGGUCACAGACAUGAAUCCCCUGAGAAAAUGAAAUCCUGUCACAUAAUGUAAUGACAUGUGGCAGGAGAAGCCUUUCUUGCUGCUCCUGAGUUUGUUUCAAUUAGCAGGCUACAUGCUUAAGCUCUGAAAGUUUGCUGAAUGUUUUGCAGAACUUGACAACCGCAGUGCU